This 492-nucleotide ribosomal RNA is filed under the name uncultured bacterium. Its description in RNAcentral is "partial 16S ribosomal RNA". It matches the Rfam family "Bacterial small subunit ribosomal RNA", at positions 29 to 507 of the family's 1533-position model. The record is from RNAcentral.
AUUGAACGCUGGCGGCAUGCUUUACACAUGCAAGUCGAACGGUAACAGGCCUUCGGGUGCUGACGAGUGGCGAACGGGUGAGUAAUGCAUCGGAACGUACCCAGAGGUGGGGGAUAACGCAGCGAAAGCUGUGCUAAUACCGCAUGUGAUCUGAGGAUGAAAGCGGGGGACCGAGCAGCAAUGUUUGGCCUCGCGCCUUUGGAGCGGCCGAUGUCGGAUUAGCUAGUUGGUGGGGUAAAGGCCUACCAAGGCGACGAUCCGGAGCUGGUCUGGGAGGACGAACAGUGACAGUGGAACUGAGACAGGGUCGAGAGGCCGGAGGGAGGCAGCAGUGGGGAAGAGUGGACAAUGGGCGAAAGCCUGAGCCAGCCAUGCGGAGUGUGUGAAGAAGGUCUUCGGAUUGGAAAGCACUGUAAGGUGGGAGGAAGGGCAGUAAGUUAAUGCCUGGCUGUUGUGACGGUACCAACAGAAGAAGCACCGGCGAACGUCGUG